Molecule: ribosomal RNA, 646 nt
Filed under: uncultured bacterium
Lineage: Bacteria
Description: bacterial SSU rRNA
Rfam family: Bacterial small subunit ribosomal RNA
Source: RNAcentral
CAUGCAGUCGAGCGCUCCGCAAGGAGAGCGGCGGACGGGUGAGUAACGCGUGGGAUUGUACCCCUUACUUCGGAAUAGCCUCGGGAAACUGGGAGUAAUACCGAAUGUGCUCUUCGGAGGAAAGAUUUAUCGGUAAGGGAUCGGCCCGCGUUGGAUUAGGUAGUUGGUGGGGUAAUGGCCUACCAAGCCGACGAUCCAUAGCUGGUUUGAGAGGAUGAUCAGCCACACUGGGACUGAGACACGGCCCAGACUCCUACGGGAGGCAGCAGUGGGGAAUCUUAGACAAUGGGCGCAAGCCUGAUCUAGCCAUGCCGCGUGAUCGAUGAAGGCCUUAGGGUUGUAAAGAUCUUUCAGUGGGGAAGAUAAUGACUGUACCCACAGAAGAAGCCCCGGCUAACUCCGUGCCAGCAGCCGCGGUAAUACGGAGGGGGCUAGCGUUGUUCGGAAUUACUGGGCGUAAAGCGCACGUAGGCGGACAGAGAAGUCAGAGGUGAAAUCCCAGGGCUCAACCUUGGAACUGCCUUUGAAACUUUUUGUCUUGAGGUCGAGAGAGGUGAGUGGAAUUCCGAGUGUAGAGGUGAAAUUCGUAGAUAUUCGGAGGAACACCAGUGGCGAAGGCGGCUCACUGGCUCGAUACUGACGCUGA